Long non-coding RNA from Scylla paramamosain (green mud crab), 6450 nucleotides. RefSeq lists it as uncharacterized. The transcript has 3 exons. The record is from RefSeq and is a predicted model, not a curated record. Lineage: Eukaryota; Metazoa; Arthropoda; Malacostraca; Decapoda; Portunidae.
UCUCCGCAACGACAUUCCCUGAAUUGCUGAAGUGGAAAUACAGAAAGAAAGAUUUAUUUCCAAUACUUUUUAUCUUUGUUCCCGUCUCUUAUCGCCUGGCAGGCAUGCAAGAGCUGCCAGGACCAGGUUAUUGUACGGCAGCCUCGCCCGUCCAAUAAACAUGGAUAGGAGGACGAGAGUAGUGUGACACAAACAUCCCCAGCGAGAGGCAGUAGCUAGAAGACAGUGUCUUGGCGUUAGCUUGUGUCCACAGUGAUCUCCAUUACUCCCAGUUGUUUGCGCGUGGGAACGUCGUUUGCCAGGUUGCAGCGUUAUUUUUGUUUAUUACGUCUCUAAGUGUUUACGGAGAGGGUGACGACAGGAGAAAAUCAAUGAGUGUGUGUUGCUUGGGCGAGGACAAAAGCGUGCGAGCAUCACAGCAAGAAUGUGCACUGAUGGAGGUUCCCCGCUAUUCUUCGCCUGCUCAGCUCGGGGACUGACUGACGACCGUAUCUGCAUUGCUACCCAUCAGCCACCCGUCGUCCCCAGCUUGUGGUGACAUAUGAUAAUGACAAGAAAUUCAUAAGGAUACUAUUAAGCUUUAUAAACCCUACCUCACAGUCUCUUAAAAAUCUAGAAUAGUACAAAACUCACAAAUAAUACUCGAAAAUAUAUCUCAUGAUUAUCUUAUGAAAUUAUGUAUUCUGUAACGCCACCGAGCCUGAUCUAUCCGACUGUGUUCAAUGAGAGUGGUGAAGAAGCUGCCGGGGACCCUCGCCUGCAGGAAGAGAAGUAUGUAGUGGGUCUGACAGUGCUGCUUACUUUGAUACUUCUCGGGGUGAUGGCCUCAGUACUCAUGUGCAUCGCCUCCCGCCAGGAACCGGGUAUCUUCGAGGGAAUCAGGUUCAAAAACAGAUUAUCCCACAGAGAGGUUGUAAAGCUUCCCCGAAGAGUUAGGUUUCAGUUGCCGGAGAGCCAUAUUAAUCUAGGCUUUUCUAAAAAGUUGCUUCUCUCUCCCUCUAAGGAAAAUGAGAACGAGGACGAAGAACAGGAGGAAGAGGAAGGAACGAUCACUAUUUGCUCAUAAGUACCAACACAAUGUGUGUCUUGCACGACCAGUAUUUAAAUGUAAGGUUCUGUGUAUCACGUGUCUUUAAUAAUUUGGUAGACGUAGACCAUUUACAUGUGACUUGCAGACGUAUUUACACUUACACUGAGUAUCACGGCAGCUAGUUAUAUUAUUCUCUCUCUCUCUCUCUCUCUCUCUCUCUCUCUCUCUCUCUCUCUCUCUCUCUCUCUCUCUCUCUCUCUCUCUCUCUCUCUCUCUCUCUCUCUGUGUGUGUGUGUGUGUCCGUAAAUCAUAUCAAUAACAGCUCCUCAUGGAUCAGCUAAAUGAUGCAUAUAUGAUGAUAAAUACUCACUGUAUAACACGUGUGUGGUGGUUUUGUUUUGGGGUCACGCUCGGUUACGUUACAGUGGCGUGAUUCGUGUUGCGCCGCAUCACAAAUUCUAAGUCCAUGGCGAUGAGGCUCGCUUGGAGGAAUAAUAUAACGCGUGUGUUAGCGUGUUGGUACGCGGGUAAUGCUGCGUCACGCUGCCACAAUAACUAGUCCCGUGGCAGGUAUUAUUCACCAUUGUAUUAUUGACUGAUAUUUCUGUUGCACUGGAUGGAAAUUAAUUGUCAUAUUAAUAUAUAAUCAAAUAAUUAUUUAUGCGUGACACAUUUGUAUUGUACGUAGUGCCACUAAUUCAAAUGGCCAUGUGUUGUCUGGAACUAUAGUCUGGAACUAGUCCGCGUGUAGGCCUCUGCGGGGGUAUGAGAGAGCUGCCACGUCAGUUCUACCUCCAUCAUGGCGUUAGACAGGUAUAUGGAUUGCGAUUUGGGUUUACUCUACUUUUUUUUCCUGCCCUAUAGUGGAAAACCUGGGAUUCUGUACAACUUAAUUUUGUGAGUAAUUCCAAAUCAUUCUUGUUAAUGUGGUGUGCUGGUGUAAUAUUAGGUUAGUGUCCAUAAGGGGACGAAGCUUCACCGGCUUGUUUAGAUUAGGUUAGAGUCCUUAGGUGGAGGGUCCAGGCUAGUUUACGUUAGCUUUAUUGUGGUGGGGGAUAUUCCCUGUUGAUUUUUUUUUUUUCUCCCAAAAUCGGUGUUUUCUUCAAACUUUUAAGGUUUAAAAAAAUUCGCCUAUUUUGGCUUUCCCCACUGUAAAACCCCGUUUUCCCACCAGGUCCCCAAGCUUGCUACUCCUGGAGAGAGGCAGAAAUAGAAUAUAGAGGGAGCCACUAUUGGUAAUAUUCUCUCUCUCUCUCUCUCUCUCUCUCUCUCUCUCUCUCUCUCUCUCUCUCUCUCUCUCUCUCUCUCUCUCUCUCUCUUAGAUCAGUGAGCCUAAUAAUUGUUUCCUUUCUGAGACAGAAAAAAAAAAAAAGAUAAAAAGAAAAAAAACUCUUCUAGCAGCGCAGGUAACAUUACCCAGUGGUGUGCUCAGAGGCGGAAACCCUUUUGUAAUAGAUGUCUUUUUCGGCGACUUUGUAUCAUCCUCUAAUUUUUAUAUGAAAGGCGCUGGCACACUAACACAUUUUCUGUUACUUUUUUUCGUCAACUUAUGAAAAUGGACAAUUUCUUGAGAGCGUCCCGUCACACACGCACAGCCAUUUGUCUGCACUUUCCGCGACAGUAAACGAACAUGGCUCCUCUGACGCACAGGCUAGCAGUCUCUCUCUCUGCACUUUAUUGCAUGUUUCGUAAAUCGUAGACGAGCCAAAGGAACUAAAAUGGUAUCUAGUAUAUGGGAGUAGAGAAACUUUCCAAAAGUUUAAACGUCUAUCGAGUCAUGCGAGCCACAGUUUGCUGCUAUAUAUCCACAAAUGAAAUGUAACGACAUGUGAAGUUAAACGAUUUUAUAUAUUCUUUAUUUGAAAUUUAAUAAUGAAAAUAAUAAAAGGUUUUACUUCUCGUCUCUAUAUAAGCAAUGGAUUUUCAUUUGACAACGUUGAUAACUCUCCUCCCUGAAAACGAUCACUCCCGUUUAACGAUGUAGAUGGAAAGAGACGAUGGAAUGAGGUAAAAGUUCACGGAAACCGACGGAAAAAUUGGCGGAAAACGUGCUGGUGUGACGGCGCCGCAGAGGAGUGUCACAACACAAAAAGCGCAAGAAAAUUAGUUCGACACGUUCUGACGAGGGAAGAAACAAUAACUUCAUUUCAGUGUUUUCCUUCCUUCGUUCAUAACAAACACGUGAUUAUACAUCUCAGAAACACUGGAUAUCAUUUUUCCACAAAAAAAAACAGUAAUCUCAUUGUAUUAUGACAAGAGGAUAGCCAAUAAUUUCUCACGUAGUGCAUUUUACCUUCCUUCCAAUACAACAAAGAUCUGAUUGCACAUUCCUAGAAAAAAAAAAAAAAAAAACUUUCUAUUACCUAGAAGAGAGAGAAGAAAAAAACUUGUAUGCAUUCUGACAAAAGAAGGCGACUCAAUAACUUCUCCCUUCAUAUUUCUUAAUCACUUAGAAUAGAUACGCUCCUCUAGACACUGACACCCUCCACAGCACAUAUUUACAACCUGACAUUUGCUAGUUAAAUACCACUCAGGGAGUAUUUAUUGUUUUUCAUAAUGACUCAAAACAGACGUAACCGUACGGCGACGCAACAAGACAGCCACUCAACUCCUCGAACGUGUUGAGAUCUAUCACCUUUAACCCAAAACUAAAGACGUGUUUACCAUUGGGUUCAUCGCCCCUACAUUGGGGACUUCCCUUCCGUAUAACAAUGAAACUGCCUGUAAGAUAGCUAUAAAGACUUCAGGAACUGAAUCUCUUCUCUUCCACUCACUAUCUCGGUGAAAUAAUCUAGACGACUUUUUGAAUAUGCAAGUGCUCACAUUUGUUUACAUUAGAUUCUUCCGGGAAUAUUAUGUAGAAUGAGUGGUAAUUUGUCUUACCGCAUUGAAUAAGGAACUUGAUUAGGUAGUGUGUCAGUACUUGUCUCGACCAACCAAGCCUACUCGAAUCGGUUCCGUUCAUCUGGCUCGAAUGAAUCCCUUGAGGGCGAGUGGGAGUCGGAGAGCAGUAACUGGAGACGUGCACGCGAGGAGGACCUGUAUGUUGGUAUGUUUGUUGUUUCCUUGUACUACGCGUUGUCCGGCGUUGUUCAUUUGAGUUCUGAUUGUAGGUAGCAAGUUAACAAGGGCUCGUCAUUAUCGCAUUGCUAAAGGUAAUAACAGAAAAGCCCAUAAUCGUAACUUAAGAAAAGAUGUUUGCUCCUUCACUGGUGUGCGGUUAUAUUUCCCUUGGACGUUUUCCUCCUGACGCUUUCCCAUUAUUUCCCUACGGACACAUUUUCCUCUGGACAUUUCCCUUCGCGGACUCAUUUCGCCCCUGGAUAUACGAGUAUUUAUUCCUUUUUUACUGCUACGAUGUUUUUUGUUAACAUUCAGAUCUCAUUUAAUAGUUUGGAUGGAUACCAGGAGAGGAGAAAGAACAUAAAGUUAAUCACGUCUUUCCUCGGUUGCAGAUUUGUUAAAAGACUACAGUAUACAAAAAUCUCUUAACUGUAAUUGAGUAUGAGAAGAAUUACCUGCCAGUGAAAAAGUUAACAAGCAACGUUAUUGGCUAAGUAGAUGGGGAUAGAGAAAACUGUCUGAAAGGAGAAACGUCGAACGGGAAAAAUGUCCAUGGGAGAAAAUAAUUCAGAGGAAAAGGGUGGAAGAUAGUGGAAGGGAGGGGAGAUCCUGCCCCGAAUCCCACCAGGUGAAGAGCGUUCUUUUUUUCCUAUCAAGCAGAAAGUGUUUUGACUGGAAUGUCAUCAAUACAACGAGAAAUUACUGUUAAAUAAUAUCAAAGGGAAGAAAACGAACAAAUUUUAAUGUUAUAUUCUUUUAUAUAAUAUUCAUAUCAUACAGUAUUGUCAAUUUGUACUUUUGUAUUGUCUUAUUGAAUUACAUUAAAUUCAAAUUUCAGUCACAGAGUAUUUAAAAAAAAAAAAUUGUUUUUUUUUGUUUGCGCAGCAUGAAUAAUUUCUUUAUUGUGAGUUGUCCGAAGACUGGUGUCAGUAGAAGUUAUAAUGUGACUGUAGAUUAAAUUUGGAAAUGUUCUUAACUGUUUAGCCCAUUAGUAGUUCCUGGCAGGAAGGAAUGUAAAUGGCAGGAAGGAGCGUAUUAUGUGUAAAAUUAUGUGUAUGUGACAGUCCUGGGGAGACCGGAUCAUCAUAGGGGACCAGAUGGCUCCAUGGUAAUGUCUUGCUUGGCCUUGUAACCAAAAGAUGGCGAGUUCAGUCCUGCAUGUGAUGGGUGCCUUUUGGUCCAAGGAGUGGGGUCCUCACAAGCCUGACCCUUCACCGUUACAUUGCAUCAUGCAAACUAUGGUGGUGCCAUGAUCUCAGCUCUUCAACACAUAAUACUUUUCACUUCCAAUGCAUUUAUAUUUGGAGUAUCAAGGAAAAUGUAUUUGCGACGGAAAUUCUUGUGGGAAUUGUUUUAAGCAUAUCAUCCAUCAUAUGUGGGAAAUGUGUGUUGUGUUGGUGCCGCUCGACUGCUGUUGUUUAUUAAAAGAAUAAGCAGCGCCUUGAUGAUUUGUGUGUUUAUUCGUGUUAUUGUAUUAUUGUAUCGUACUUGAAAAUACAAACACUUGUAUAUAAUUUUGAAAUAAUGCUUAUUCCUAUCAUUAGUGCAGUAUUUUUCAUGAAUACUGCAAAAGAAAGCUCCACGAUUUUACAUCAAGCAGUGAUUUUGUAACAUAAUUUACCAUAUUUCUCUCUUUGAAAUAAACAUACUGAUGAUAAUUAUCCUUAUCUUUUCAUCCAGUCUCAUGUUAAGAGAAAAUGUCGUUAUCAGGCACUGUUAAUGAACCUUUGCUGAAAAGAAAGCUGACCAACUCCCGGAAUAUGAUGCGUGCGUUCAGACUGCUUAGUACGUGUGUAAGAUUUCAAAGACUAAAAAAAAAAAAGUACAAGAAUAAACUCCCUUUGUUUAACUAUGAAGGAUUUUAGUAAAAAUAACAUAGAAGAAUGUAGCGACAAAUUUUACCUUCAUUUUUACUUAAAAGUUUCAUGUUUGAAUGCAGAAAGGAGUUGAUUAACUGAUAUCAGGAAAGUAUCAUACAUGAAAUGCAUGUAACCGUAACCUAGGUCAAGUAAUAAUUGCUUAUGACUGGAGGCUCUGCUUGAGAAACACCGAAAGUGACCCGAGGUGUGUUCUCUUGCAGGACAGUGUUCCUGCAUACAAGAGCAUGGUGGCCAUAAGCUAAGUGGUGUCCUACGGCUUCGAAUUGUUGCCCCAUCCCCCCUUAUUACCCAGAUCUGGCACCUUCCUUUUCCCACACAUGAAGAAGCAGCUGUGAGGUUUAUCUUUCGCUGAUGACAAGGAGAUCAAGAAGGUCAAGGAGGUUUUGGAGGGAUUCGGUCAACCAUUCCUUAGGGAUGGAUUUUUGCAGUUGAUGACGAGACCAGAAAAAUACAUCAUGAUCAAAGAUUACGUUGGAG